CUCAUGGAGAGUUUGAUCCUGGCUCAGGACGAACGCUGGCGGCGCGCUUAACACAUGCAAGUCGAACGGGGCACUUCGGUGCUUAGUGGC
RNAcentral lists this ribosomal RNA (90 nucleotides) under Longimicrobium terrae. RNAcentral describes it as "Bacterial small subunit ribosomal RNA". It matches the Rfam family "Bacterial small subunit ribosomal RNA", at positions 1 to 99 of the family's 1533-position model. The record is from Rfam by way of RNAcentral. Lineage: Bacteria; Pseudomonadati; Gemmatimonadota; Longimicrobiia; Longimicrobiales; Longimicrobiaceae.